This 72-nucleotide transfer RNA is filed under the name Camelus ferus (Wild Bactrian camel). It matches the Rfam family "tRNA". From Rfam's summary of the family: Transfer RNA (tRNA) molecules are approximately 80 nucleotides in length. Their secondary structure includes four short double-helical elements and three loops (D, anti-codon, and T loops). Lineage: Eukaryota; Metazoa; Chordata; Mammalia; Artiodactyla; Camelidae. The record is from Rfam by way of RNAcentral.
GAGGGUAUAGCUCAGUGGUAGAGUGCAUGCUUACUAUUCACAGGGUACUGGGUUCAACCCCCAGUGCCUCCA